AGAAAUUUAUGCCACAUCAGUACCAUCAAUGGUGGAAUUUCUCUCAAAAUUAGUAUCAUCAAUGGUGGAGUUUCUCAUACAUCCGAUUCAUUCCCACACAUUAUCCUUCGCUCAAUGAGCAUCUUCCGAAUCUUCUUGGUCUUCCUAAUGGCAAUAGCUCUAGAUUAAGCGCAAUGAUUUCACCGGCAUGGUAUUGAGUAGAAACAAAGUCUGAAAACUCAAAUUUUUAAUGGCUGAUGCAAGAUACGUUGUCGUUCUGUUAAACCAUCACCAAGAGAAGUAGAGAAUAUCGUCUUAGAAUUUGGGAUCUGCUUCGACUCCGAUUGUUUUGUUUCAGCAAUUCAUGUGCUGUGAUGACAACAACGAACGUCGGUGGUGGCUCUGCCGUGGAAUGGAUAGUCAUUGGUCUCGAUUUUGGGCUCUGGAACCCGUGAGGUUAAAGAACACGGACGAUUGAUUUUUGCUUCAUAAUGGAGAGAGAAGAGAACGAUAGGUCGAAAAUGUGAAAGAGAUUUCAAUUCUUGGAGGACGAUUAAUAAAAACUAAAAAGAAAUCUUUUGUUUCAUCUCUGAGUUCGGAUGAAGAAGAUGAUGGGCACGACAAAACGGGUUGAAAUCGAUUUUAUUAGAGAAUCGGGUUGUAAUCUGGUUUAUAUUAGGUUUAAUCCGGUUUAUUA
This is a long non-coding RNA of Arabidopsis lyrata subsp. lyrata, 676 nucleotides long. RefSeq lists it as uncharacterized. Lineage: Eukaryota; Viridiplantae; Streptophyta; Magnoliopsida; Brassicales; Brassicaceae. The record is from RefSeq and is a predicted model, not a curated record. The transcript is spliced from 3 exons.